CGCCCGGCCUCCCCGCGGCAGCCGCCGUCAGACCGGACAAACGGGUUCCCCCAGCUGGCCGGGCCGGCCCCGCCGCGCAGGAGGAGGGGAGGGGCCGCGCCGGCCCCGGACCUGUUGCCAUUCCCAUCGCACCAGGCUGCAGAAAAAUACAUGUAAACAUCUCCGGAGCUUACUGUGAACUCGUCAAAUGAACAUGACAAGCUCCAACUGAUCUAAAAGGUCAUCUUUUCGGGAUCCACUGCUGCUCCUCCUGAAACUUCAGGCAUGAUGAGGUGGAGCUGUGACUCUGCCAGGAGAAUACAAAAGAUUGUGGAAAAGAUCCAUUUUGGCUGACCUGCCUUGAAUUCUACUAGGAGCGAAUUCCUGAGGUCGUCUGAAUUUGUGGGACGUCUGCCUGGGAUUAUCAGCACCACAGUCAUCUGAAUAAAACGAAGAUUUAUUAAACACAGACGGAACAUGAAAUCCAAGUGAAAGAAACAGUUUGCAUAACAAAUCUCCUGAGAUUUGCAUUUCUCCUAAACUGAGCAAGGAGAAGCAAUCGGAGCCCUCUGCACGCCGCGGCAGUCGGAGCAGCUCGGAGGGUUACAGCUGGGGAAGCCGCGGCCGG
Chroicocephalus ridibundus (black-headed gull) is the source of this 607-nucleotide long non-coding RNA. RefSeq lists it as uncharacterized. The record is from RefSeq and is a predicted model, not a curated record. Lineage: Eukaryota; Metazoa; Chordata; Aves; Charadriiformes; Laridae. The transcript has 5 exons.